GAAAACCUGGAAGCAGAGUCACACAUAAUUCAGUAUGAUUCAGCCCACUGAGCCACUCUCCACAGGAAGUAUAAAUAGAGCACAGAAGCUCUGAAAUGGAUUUUAACCACAGAGCCAGAGGAAAUUCUCAAAAGAUCUAUUAUCUUGGUGAUAAGUUCCUCAAGUGGAGCUGGGUCCACAGCUGCCAUUCAAGAGGAAACUGCAGUUUAUAUCAGCAAGUUAUGUGUUUCCUAACAUGCUGCCCAUGUCAUUCUAGCCCCAGUGCCCAUUCAGCAUCAGCCACCAUCAUAAGGGUCUCCAUUGCAGCUUGGGCUUGACUCUUAUAGCUCAUGCAUUGCCUUUUCAGAGGAAGCCAACAAGGAUUAUGACUGUACCACACAUUUCUUGGCCUUCUUGUGGAAAUCUUCACAUCGUUCCAUGACUUCAUAAUCCUCACACUCUGCAUGCCUGCAAAAUCAGCCCCAUGAGGAUGAUGGGCCUCACAGCUUGUCUUUUGUUUUCACUAACCUGGAACUGCUGAGACUUUGGGAACUCUGAGAGAUGGACUGAAUGCAUUUUGCCUUAUGAGAUGAGCAUGAGCCUUUGGCAGCCAGAGGUGGAAUAGUCUGAUAUACAUAUGAAGUGCUCCCCCUAAGACUUGUAUUUAAGGCUUGAUCCACAAUACAGCAAUAUUCAGAGAUUGGCCCUAAAGAUUUGAUUAAAUCAUGGGGGCUUGGAUGUCAUCAUGGAUUUAUCCAUUGAUGGGUUUAUAAUUGAAUAUACUAUUGGAAAGUGGUGGUAAGUAUUGAGGGGGGGGCUAGUUGGAGGAAGUAAAUCACUAGGACCCUGCUCUAGAAGGGUAUAUUUUGUCUCUAGCAAUCUUCUUCCCCUCCUCCUCUCUCUCUCUCUCUCUCUCUCUCUCUCUCUCUCUCUCUCUC
RNAcentral lists this long non-coding RNA (917 nucleotides) under Heterocephalus glaber (naked mole-rat). Its description in RNAcentral is "lncRNA (ENSHGLG00100039302.1)". Lineage: Eukaryota; Metazoa; Chordata; Mammalia; Rodentia; Bathyergidae. The record is from RNAcentral.